Molecule: long non-coding RNA, 5172 nt
Organism: Lolium perenne
Lineage: Eukaryota; Viridiplantae; Streptophyta; Magnoliopsida; Poales; Poaceae
Source: RefSeq, a predicted model, not a curated record
CCUAGCAUCCCAGCCUUCUCCUCCCGUUCCCUCGCGUCCCCAUCCCCGCCGCCGGCGACCUCACGCCUCCAGCCGCGCCCUCCCCAAUCUCUCUCCCUCACGUGCGUGUCAGCCGACGACGCUCCAUCUCCUUCCCCACUCUUCCUUGCCAGUAGCAGGAAGAUGACGCGGGCGCAGUACCCUGCGUCUCUCUCCUCCAGUUCUCUUCCUCCCCUGCCUCCAUCGAGCCGCCGCCGCUUGGUCUUCUCGUGGAGAUCGCCGAGGUCAUGGCCAACCGCCGCCUCGCCACUCGACAAGCAGCACACCAUGGUAUGGAACGACAGAGGAGCAGGUGUGUGCGCCGCCGGGCUGGAAGGAGACGCCGCCGCGCCGUCAUCGUCCCCCGGCGACCGGGGCGUAAAUCGGCACGCAGAGGCACAAGGACAGAGGAGGAGGCACACGUCCUCGUCCCCGGGUGACCGGCCCGCUGGGAUCCGUUCGUGACGUCGCUGUCGUCCUCAACCUUGGCGUGCUGAGCCCCAAUGUCUCCAUCCAUAGCUCCUCUCCAUCAAGCACGCGCAGGAAGACCUCGUGACACCAUCCUAGGGCCCCUCUCUGAAGGAAUUCGUGCCCCAGGCCCAUGUGCAUCUGUAGGGAAGAAUGGAGAUUAAGGACACUAGCACAUACUAGGAACGUGCCCUCAAAGGCAUGCUUUGUUUCUUGCUUAGUUCCAGAUUGCUCCACCAUUCUCUAUCUCUACUUCAUAUUUGUCUUAGAAGUUUGUUAACAUUAAGUUCAUUGUUAAUUAAAUAACAUCCUUCAAUUAAUACAUAUGAUUUACCCCAAAUAUUUUAGUUGUAUUUUAUUUAAUUGUUCAGCUAUAUUGCGCUUGAUUGAUACAUAUCGUUGCUUAUUGCUCUUCUAGAUCCAUUUAUGUGAUAUAGGAUUGGGCAUCUUGGAGGACAAUUAUAAGCGUCGACGAGGCAGCAUGGUCAAGUGAGAGCAUGAUGAUAUAGCGGAAUGCAUGGAUGGAUAAAGGAGGCUGGCAGAGAUGUGAAACUCAUGCUUCUUGAGUGUUUUGCUUAAAUCAAUUGGAUCUACCGUGCAGAAACUUAUGUCUGCAGCUGAUUAAAUGAUAGGAAGCAGGCCAGAGCACUACCGGACGGCAGGGGGGUUGAAGUGUGGACGACGGUGGAGCACUUGCGGGUCAGCUGUGGCUGGUAGGGGCAAGGAACUGCAGUUCACGCAAACUGCUGGCUAGAUCAUGGUUGAAGUGAAGGUAAUCAAUUCAAUUUUCUGGACUGCUCAAAUUUGCACCAGUAGUGUGUGCUGCUCCUUUCCCACUCUAUGUUGUCCUGGUGCUCUGUUUAUAUUGCCUCAAAAGCAACUUAGAGUUUCUAAGAAAUGCACAUUUUGCAUCUAACUUAAUUUAAUGUAAAGAUGCAAAUGCAGGUUUAUGGAAGCAUCUGAUAGUUUUGCUCGCAGCUCUAAAAAUAUACCUCAUUUAGUCAUUUCUCUCAUUUGUAAGGUAACGAUUUAAAGUUCAGAUGUCUCAUGCUUGGUAUUUUAUGUGCAUAAUAAAAGUUUGAGAUCUGAAGGGCAUUGAAAGUGUAGGUUUGCGCAAAUCGUUGGCAAGGUCAUGGUCGAAGCGAAGGUAAUCAAUUUAAUAUUACUCGCCGCUCAACUUUACACCAGUCUUGUGUGCUGCUCCUUUCCCCAUCUCUAUUGUCCUUCUGCUCUAUUUGUAUUGCCUCAAAAGAAACUCUGAGUUUAUAAGAAAUUCUCAUUUUGCACCUGACUUAAUUUAGUGUAAAGAUGGCAAUGCAGAUUUAUGGAAGCAUUUGAUGGUUUUGCUCGCAGCUCUGUAAAUAUACCUCAUUUAGUCAUUUAUCUCAUUUAUAAAGUAAUGAUUUAAAGUUCAGAUGUCUCAUGCUUGGGAUUUUCUAUGUAUAUUGUAAGUUUGAGAUCAAAAGGGCAUUGAAAGUGUAUGCUUUUGUAUUUGGGUUCAGUUGAGAUAUUUAAACAAUGAUGUUACUUUUAUAUAAAUUUGAUGCUUACUGUAUAUUUGAGAGAAUGCUCUGCUGGGAUCAGUAGCAGGAAGAAGCAAUCCUCAGAUCCCCAUAAAAUGAUAAUGGCAAGAAAUUUUUCGUUCACUACGAUAUUCAUGAGAUACUAUUACAAGAUAAAGCUGAAUGUGAAAAUCGUUUAAAUAGGUAGUUUCCAAGAUCAAAACCAACAAGGAAAGUCACUUCUUCAACCUUACAAUCUUGAGCUCAGAUAUUCUGCCUAUUGACUCAGUUAUCUAUGUGCUUUUUUGUAGCUUUGAAAUUUUAUUUAUAGCCUGAAGGUGUUACUGCAAAAGUGUGGCUUGAGUACCAAAGUGCAUUCUUCGGAGAGAAGUUGCAGAAGCAUAUCUACUGCAGGGUUUUUCUUGAAGAUGCCAUGAUUCUUCAAUGUGGGCACUCAUUGGGUGAUCUCGUGCUGAACAAAGUCACUGAAAUGAAAGAUAAUGUUCCUCAUUCAUGGUAUGUUCAUGUGCAUAAUUACUUACGAGAUUGGCGCGGGAGAUGACAGAUUUCUUCAUGAGUUAUAGAGUUGUUCCCGGCUGACAUAAAUAGGUGAGUUGCGCUUCCUAUGCAGGAUCUAACUUGGUGUUGAUGCUUUCCUCUGUUAUACACAUACAGACGAUUGAAUAGAUAGAUAGUUUAGCACAGUGAAGUGGUUAACAAGCAAGUCACAUAGCCUGUCAUAGGAGCUUCAGGAGCUUCUGUUAUUAAUUCUUGGUUUAAAAUUCCAAUCAGAUAUAUCAAACUUGAACCUACACAGGGUAGUCCUAAGGUAACCUUCUGCUUAUAUUUGACUCAAAAUAUAUAAAAAGUGUGAAAUCUGAGAUGUGCGCAGGUUAGUGAAAAUUUGGGAAGUCAAAAACUGCUAUGUCUUGGGUUACUGUCAUUAAAUGUUUUCCCAUGUGAAAUAGAGGCCUUUGACAGACUGUUGGCAAGUAAGAUAAACAUCACUUCAUUUUAUUCAAUAGAUAGUUUAGCACAGUGCUAGCAUGUGUGAAGUGGUUAAUGAGGAAGUCACAUAGCCUGUCACAGGAGCUAUAGGAGGUGAUGUUAUUAAUCCUUUGGUUUAAAAUUCCAAUCAGAUAUAUCGAACUUGAACCUACGCAGGGUAGUCCUAUGGUAAUCUUGUGCUUAUAUUUGACCCUGAACAUAUAAAAAGUGUGAAAUCUCAGAUGUUCGUAGGUUAGUGAAAAUUUGGAAAGUCAACAACUGCCAUGUCUUAGAUUAUUGUCCUUAAAUGUUUUCCCAUAUGAAGACACCGACCUAAGUGAACAUGGUUCGAUAAGUGAGAUGCCUCGUGUUUGGUCAUCAAAUUUUCUUAGUAAGCUUGUGUAGUAACUGACUUACUAUGGUUGUUCACUGUUAUAUUUAGAGCUUAGAGGAUCACAGUAAAUUUGUAUCCUACCUUCUGAGUGGGGUCAUGUGUGGUGACGCACAUUAGUUCACGACUAAACUAUAAGGAUCUUCUAUUUUUCCCUGUGUCAAGUAAAGACAGUCACUCUACGAUGUAUGAACACAACAUUUAUUAUAGACUAGACUUCUAUGUACAAGAAUAGAGAAACAAUAUAGACUAUACUUCUAUGUACAAUAAUAGAGAAAAAAUAUUGUCAACGGUUAAUUUCCAAAUUUGAUUUAUUAUUCUUUCAUCUGCUUAGAUACAGUAGAAUAAUAUGAUGGAUGUUAUGCUAAAAAUGUGCAUUUUCUGCCCUGAAUAUGAAAGGCGUGCACUCGGAGGAUAUCUUUUUACCAAACUGAUGUUUUAACCUUCUGUAGUUCCUGUAGUGUUUACUGUUGGAGCAGUUCCAUGUGUACUAUGAUUCAGAUCAAGAUGACUCAGUCAAUUGGAACUGUGAGGUUGUUGACUAUAACUCUGAUGGACAUCCUAUAGAUUACUAAUUGUUCUUACCCACAUUGGUACCGUUACCUCUGCUGCUCCAUUCAGGGUAGUGAUAUCGGCAAACAUCGUGAUGUUUUUGUCAGGUACUUCAUUUUAGACUAUAUAUGUGAUGAAUAAAGAACAACUCUGUUGUGAAAAUGAAUGGUACCCCUCUAUGCUUUUAGCUACUGUUAUCUCCGAACUAUCCAUUUGUGCCUGUUGUAAUGUAUUUUCAUAUUUUUGCUGCUUGCAUUUAUCACAUUUUGUCACUUUCGACACAUCAUGUACCAAUCCUACUAUCUGAUAGGUUAGACUGAUAUGUGUGUAAUUUCGUGUUUGCUCUUUGUUCUCUCAGCUUACUACAUAGUGUUUUACAAAACGUUCUACCAGUGCAAAAGACGGGGGCCAUGCUCCAAGAUGUGCUCCUAUAUCAAACAAAUUAAAAAGAUGAAGGCUGGUGUCAUACUUGGACCAUCUCGUGGUGGUUUCUUCUCAAAGGAGGUACGGUAUCUUACAGUAAUUGCAUGGUAGUUUCUGUUCGGCAUGUGACCGUUUUCUGUGAACCAUUGCUUACCAUGCUCUUUACUUUUAGCAUUUAAUUUUGCUGAUCUAUGUUAUUCCAUCAUAUGAUUUACCUAGAUGUCAUUUCUGCCACUAUUGGUGUCUCCAAGCUUUCCUUGGUUCAGCUAUCAACACAAUGAGAUCCCUCUUUGAUGUGGACCCUCAUAAUGAAAGACAUGAAUUAAGUACCCUAAUAGAGAGCUUUGGAGCAUUUCAUAUUGAGUGUUUACAAUUUUCAUCACUUCUAUUGAUUCUCCAUUCACAUUCCAGGGACAGAAAAAUUCUGACAGUUCAAGAUGUGUUGAAAAUAUUUGAUAACGAAUUAGCUAAUAAUGUUUUUUAUGCAUCCUUCCAGACUGGAAGAGGUUUGUAAGGUGAAUCAAGCAGUAUAUUUGAAUGAUCUAAGGCCCCUAGCUGCAUGUUCAAAUGUUGGUGCCAUAAGUUUUGAAGAUUUUAUGUAGUUGGACAAACAUUAGUUAGUGAUAUAGAGCAAUAAAAUGUAAUGUCAUAGAUAUUUCUUCUAGCCCUUGUUCCUAUUUUUCUUCAUUAUAUAUUUGCGCACCUUAGAGCUAUGGACUAUGGUAUCGGGAAGAGGGGCAGCAUUGUUACCCAAGGUCCGAGGUUGUAUCCAGAGGACAAGUAGCCUGUGUUGUGUUUUCUAUUGUAUUUUCUUGAAAAUUUUAGGUUUUA